AUUGAACGCUGGCGGCAUGCCUUACACAUGCAAGUCGAACGGCAGCGCGGGCUUCGGCCUGGCGGCGAGUGGCGGACGGGUGAGUAAUGCAUCGGAACGUGCCCAGGAGUGGGGGAUAACGUAGCGAAAGUUACGCUAAUACCGCAUACGUACUGAGGUAGAAAGCGGGGGAUCGAAAAACCUCGCGCUCAUGGAGCGGCCGAUGUCGGAUUAGCUAGUUGGCGGGGUAAAAGCCCACCAAGGCGACGAUCCGUAGCUGGUCUGAGAGGACGACCAGCCACACUGGGACGGAGACACGGCCCAGACUCCUACGGGAGGCAGCAGUGGGGAAUCUUGGACAAUGGGGGAAACCCUGAUCCAGCAAUGCCGCGUGUGGGAUGAAGGCCCUCGGGUUGUAAACCACUUUUGGCAGGAAAGAAAUCGCCUGUGCUAAUACCACGGGCGGAUGACGGUACCUGCAGAAUAAGCACCGGCUAACUACGUGCCAGCAGCCGCCGUAA
This 500-nucleotide ribosomal RNA is filed under the name uncultured bacterium. RNAcentral describes it as "partial 16S ribosomal RNA". It matches the Rfam family "Bacterial small subunit ribosomal RNA", at positions 29 to 523 of the family's 1533-position model. The record is from RNAcentral.